This 85-nucleotide transfer RNA is filed under the name Felis catus (domestic cat). It matches the Rfam family "tRNA". Rfam says of the family: Transfer RNA (tRNA) molecules are approximately 80 nucleotides in length. Their secondary structure includes four short double-helical elements and three loops (D, anti-codon, and T loops). Further hydrogen bonds mediate the characteristic L-shaped molecular structure. tRNAs have two regions of fundamental functional importance: the anti-codon, which is responsible for specific mRNA codon recognition, and the 3' end, to which the tRNAs corresponding amino acid is attached (by aminoacyl-tRNA synthetases). tRNAs cope with the degeneracy of the genetic code in two manners: having more than one tRNA (with a specific anti-codon) for a particular amino acid; and 'wobble' base-pairing, i.e. permitting non-standard base-pairing at the 3rd anti-codon position. Lineage: Eukaryota; Metazoa; Chordata; Mammalia; Carnivora; Felidae. The record is from Rfam by way of RNAcentral.
ACCUGGGUGGCUCAGUCGGUUGAGCGUCUGACUUUAGCUCAGGUCAUGAUCUUGCGGUUCGUGAGUUCGAGCCCUGCCUUGGGCU